RNAcentral lists this ribosomal RNA (292 nucleotides) under uncultured bacterium. RNAcentral's name for it is "partial 16S ribosomal RNA". It matches the Rfam family "Archaeal small subunit ribosomal RNA", at positions 456 to 747 of the family's 1478-position model. The record is from RNAcentral.
GGCCAGCAGCCGCGGUAAUACCGGCAGCCCGAGUGAUGGCCGAUCUUAUUGGGCCUAAAGCGUCCGUAGCUGGGUCUGAAAGUCCAUCGGGAAAUCCACUCGCUCAACGCGUGGCCGUCCGGUGGAAACUCCACACCUUGGGACCGGAAGGCUCGAAGGGUACGGCCGGGGUAGGAGUGAAAUCCUGUAAUCCCGUCCGGACCACCGAUGGCGAAAGCGCCUCGGGAAGACGGACCCGACAGUGAGGGACGAAAGCUGGGAUCUCGAACCGGAUUAGAUACCCCUGUAGUCC